GGUGAAGUGUCCGAGUGGCUGAAGGAGCUCGCCUGGAAAGCGUGUAUAGGAGAAAUCUUAUCGUGGGUUCGAAUCCCACCUUCACCGCCA
This 90-nucleotide transfer RNA is filed under the name Pseudomonas sp. Its description in RNAcentral is "tRNA-Ser". It matches the Rfam family "tRNA". Rfam says of the family: Transfer RNA (tRNA) molecules are approximately 80 nucleotides in length. Lineage: Bacteria; Pseudomonadati; Pseudomonadota; Gammaproteobacteria; Pseudomonadales; Pseudomonadaceae. The record is from RNAcentral. RNAcentral also lists the same sequence under 4 other names.